CGAUAUGGCAGGUUGGAUCCGACCAAUGGGUUCCGCCACGGACCUAAACUCCAAAGUCCCAACACACGUGGAAGCUAACAGAGGGGUGAAAACCAUGUGGUUUCUCGGCGACACGCAUACGACAUCGUACAAAUCAGUGUCAAUUCCUUUCAUUAGCCUACAUCCAGCCCAACCCGAGCCCAGCACCACCACUCUGGGCUUCUCGUCCCCCUUGGUAGGUUCCAGGCCGGCAUACCUCGUCGGCGUGUCGGUGGUGAAGUGGGAGAGUGAAGUGAAGAGGAAAUUUGGGUUUUGUAAGAGAGGUUUGGAUUUGGAAGUAGAGAGUUGAAUUAGAUUUCUAAAGAGAGACAUGGAUUUGGAUUGUUUAGUACUGUUUGAUUGUUUUGCUUCAGAGAACAACUGAGUUUGUUUUGGUUCAGGUUUUCUGUGCCCAAAAUUCAGGA
RNAcentral lists this long non-coding RNA (443 nucleotides) under Populus trichocarpa (black cottonwood). Its description in RNAcentral is "long non-coding RNA (PTRI_LNC002281)". The record is from RNAcentral. Lineage: Eukaryota; Viridiplantae; Streptophyta; Magnoliopsida; Malpighiales; Salicaceae.